RNAcentral lists this ribosomal RNA (408 nucleotides) under uncultured bacterium. Its description in RNAcentral is "partial 16S ribosomal RNA". It matches the Rfam family "Bacterial small subunit ribosomal RNA", at positions 28 to 526 of the family's 1533-position model. The record is from RNAcentral.
GACGAACGCUGGCGGCGUGCUUAACACAUGCAAGUCGAACGAAGUGGCGAACGGGUGAGUAACGCGUAAUCAACCUGUCCUUCAGAGGGGGACAACAGUUGGAAACGACUGCUAAUACCGCAUACUGAAGGAGGGGAUUGCGGCGGAUUAGCUAGUUGGAGGGGUAACGGCCCACGAAGGCGAUGAUCAGUCGCCGGUCUGAGAGGAUGAACGGCCACAUUGGAACUGGGACACGGCGCAGACUCCGACGGGAGGCAGCAGUGGGGAGUCUUCCGCAAUGGACGAAAGUCUGACGGAGCAACGCCGCGUGAGUGAUGACGGCCUUCGGGUUGUAAAGCUCUGUUAAUCGGGACGCGGUACCGGAAUAGAAAGCCACGGCUAACUACGUGCCAGCCGCCGCGGUAAUAC